AUUUGUUCACGCAGUCGCUGAUUUUCAUCCAUUAUAAGUUUCAUUUGAGUUUCAACAUCCAAGUGGUUUGUUGAUACAAUAUUUGAUAUAUUUGGCAUUGAGACUUGGUUAGGUAAUAAUAGUCCACAAUUGAGAACUUCCAGAAGUGAUGGUCGCUUCGUGGGGUCUUUGGCUGUCAUCCAUAAAAUUAAACUUGACUCACAAAUAUGUUGCUCAACGAACUCUUCAGGAAGAUUUCCUCGACGAAGGUCUUGAAGUUUUGUUGCACGUUCCAUAUUUGUUUGAAACGGGUGCAACAGCUCAAACAAAACCAUUCCUAAUGAGAAUGUAUCGAUUUUUUUUGUAAAUUUAUUAUGCUGAGAAGACAUAGCAUCUAGCAAUUCCGGAGCCGCGUAAGUUGCAGUGCCUAUAUGCUGAGUCUCAUCUUGCAGAUUAGGCAAGUGGUUUCGUUCAAGAAAAGAAAGUGCGGUUUCUGUGUUUUUUUUAUUUUCAACAACGAGUCCAAAAUCACCAAUCUUAGGAGUAAUGUAUUCUUUCAAAUCGUUUUUAUCAUUAUAACUAAUUAAAGGAACAGACCCACGGUCCUCCGGUAAAGAUUUAGCAAGAAAUAUAUUGCUGGGUUUGAUAUCUCGAUGGAUCAAGUUCACACCUUCAUGUACGUACAUAACGCCAUUAAUUAUCAUUCGGAAUAAAUCCGUAUGCAGUUGUAUUUGUUCCUUACAUAGUGGGAAUGAAAGAAAAUGGUUUCUUCUUAUUAGAUAGGACUCUAGAUCAUCAAAGCAAAGCUGCAUUUGAAUAUAAAUAAUAAAAGAAUGAGUGGGUCCAGUUUUAGAUAUGUGCAUGCUACUAGAAUAGUCGUCAUCCAAGAUGGUGGUAUUAUUAAAAGUAGAAACAUUAGAGUCAUGAAGAUUACGAGGGCUUUCUAAAUUCUCAAAGUUAGAAGAUUCAGUAGUGCUUGAGUAGCUAGAUUUUCUGGAAGUUGAAAUGAUCGACUCGGUGCCAGGAUCUUCUGCAAAUAGUAUAUCGUCUGUAAGGGCAGAAGAUUCUGUUGGUUCAAAAAUUAUGGAGUCCAUUCCGUUGACAUCACAAUAGCUUGAGGUUCCAAGUACUCUACUAGAAUUUUUAG
This is a non-coding RNA of Schizosaccharomyces pombe (fission yeast), 1126 nucleotides long. Lineage: Eukaryota; Fungi; Ascomycota; Schizosaccharomycetes; Schizosaccharomycetales; Schizosaccharomycetaceae. The record is from the annotation of a GenBank genome assembly.